GUGGUUUGUUUACUUGUGUGGGUGGGUAAAGUAUUUGUUUUCUGUUUGUUAUACUCUUUUGUUUAUUCAUUUAUUAAAAGAAUGAUUCACCUCAUAUUGAUUGAUGUCAGAUGUUUCAAUACAGACGAUGCAAAGUAGGUGAUUAUUAUUAUUAUUAUUGAGGUUUAGCUAUCAAAAAAAUAAAAUGAAUGCAAAAAGAUCUUAAGAAUGCUGGUAAGUCAAUAAAAAUCUUAAAUCUAAUCGAUAAAUAUUUUUGGCGAUUUAUUGCCUAAUAUAUUUGGUAUUUGAGGAUUUAUUUAUUU
RNAcentral lists this long non-coding RNA (302 nucleotides) under Physcomitrium patens. RNAcentral describes it as "long non-coding RNA (PPAT_LNC002996)". The record is from RNAcentral. Lineage: Eukaryota; Viridiplantae; Streptophyta; Bryopsida; Funariales; Funariaceae.